GUUUAUUAAUUAUGAAAUUAUGAAAAAUAUGAAUAACAUUCCACCCAUGAGGCCACUAGGUCAUUUAACUGCGGGAAAGGGGUACUACAACAAUUAAAAUAUACACGUUCAGAUAUAGAGUAUAAAUAUCCAAAUAUAAAUACAGUUGUAUUCACCAUAGAAUAUUCAUAAUGGGCAGACAGACACAUUUUCUGUCACUAGUGACAAAUAAACAGCAUUGGUUUCAGCAGACAGACAUGGCUGUCCACUAUUUGUUAAAGACAUCCCUCACCCGGAGUAGAGGUAAUGUCCCUCUUUUUCUCUCUUCUCUUUUGCAGCAUAAUCAUCAUUCCAUCUUUACAUCACAUCACCUCAUACCAGGGACGUGUUCAUUAGGCACCGAACGGAAGAAAACAGACCCAAGUAGUGUGGAAGUACCUGAACUUAUCCAAUGAGAAACGUUAGUUUUCAUAUUCCGUUGUAAAAUCUUAUGCUACAGUGUGCCCUAAUGAACACGACCUAAGUGCUAUUCAAGUAUCACAUCAAGUACUACUACGUACUGUAUAUAUGAUUACAUAACGAGAUUUUCCCCUCACAAGCAAGCACACAGCUGAACACAAACAGCUGAUCACACACAGCUGAACACACACAGCAGAACACACACAGCAGAACACACACAGCUGAACACACACAGUACAUGCAUGUGGGAUUGCGUAGGUAGAGAGAGAGAGAGAGAGAGAUAGACAUAAAUGGAGAGAGAGGGAGAGAGAGUGACAUAUGAAGGGAGAGACCAAGACCGAGAGAGAGAGACAUAAAUGGAGAGAGAGGGAGAGAGAGUGACAUAUGAAGGGAGAGAGAGGGGGAGACCAUGACCGAGAGAGAGAGAGAGAGAGAGAGAUAAAUGGAGAGAGAGGGAGAGAGAAUGACAUAUAAAGGGAGAGAGAGGGAGAGAAAGAUAUGGUUACAAUGUAAUCAUCAGUAAACAUCAGAACCACCUGGGGCCUUGUCUCUGUCUCUCUCUCUCUCUCUUCUAAGGGAUUCUCAGAGCGCUGCCUACAAAUCAUCUCUUUUAUAAAUAUCCCACCCUGCUUCUUUUGAUAUUCAGACUUGGCUUCCUUUCAAUUUAAAACUAUGUUAUGUUACUAUUUGUGGCAAAUACUCCACGGAAAUAGAAACAUAACAGCGUAAGUCACCAGAGACUCAUGAAAUAAAUAUGUUCCUCAGUCUUCAUUAAUCAUGUUCAAUUAGUGCAAGAGAAAAAAAAGGAAAUUCAACAGAACAACUCCAGUUUUACUCCAGUCUUACCAUGACUUCAGCAGUGCAUGGCUGGAUGAACCAAGUCUCUGGCCAGGGAAAGGAACAAUUUAAAGCUCGCCUCUUGGCAUCAGAGAGAAAAUGUUGCAGUUUUCAAGCACAUUUCCUGCAAUUCUACACAUUUUGUAAUGAGGCAUGUACAACUUUGCUGUUUUAAAGGCCCAGUGCAGUCAAACAUUAUAUUUAUAUAUUUCCACACUAUGAGGUUGGAAUAAUACUGUGAAAUUGGGAAAAUUAUGAUAAUGCUGUAAGAGCUGUUGAAAAGUCCACCUAAAAUUUCAGCAUGUUUUGAUGGGAUGGUGUUUUGUUCUAGCAAUAAAUUAGUUAAUAGACCAAUAAGAAAGAGAGUUCCAAACCUCUCUGCCAAUAACAGCUAGUUUUCAGUUUUCCCCUUCCCAGGGGUCUGCAGACCCCACUUUGAGAACCCCUGCUCUAGCGUUUCUAGCCCAGGACUAAGAGCGUCUGGGGUUAAGUAUAGACUUGGGAUAACCACACGCAAUGUGAAAAGACCUUUUGAAGCUAGCCUGCUGGUAGCAGACGUGUUUGAGCCUCAGCCUGACUCCUUGGUCGUGUCCGUUGUCAUGCCAAACUCGACUAACAAUGUAUGGCAUGCCGUGACGACGCAAGUCAGUAGAGCUGGCUGUAAAGCACAUAGAAUAGUAUACACAUCCCACUGUGGCCACACUGGUUGUAUCAACGCUGUUUGCAUGUCAUUUCAAUGAAAUUACGUUGAAUAGACGUUAAAUUGACGUCUGUGCCCAGUGAGAGUACUGGAGAACCCAGCUACUUCAGCCAGUAAAGCCAGAAACUGUUUUCACUAAGAAACGCCACCAAGCUAGUAAAGCCACUUGUUAUUCUGUCCAGUAACAAAAAGGACAAGAAGGCAGCAUUCCUAUUCUGUGGCUUAACGCCCGGACCACUGCCUUUAUCCUGCGCCAGAGCAGCCAGAGUUCAGAGACAUUUUCAGUGCCGUUUCCAGUAAAGCAUUCUAACUCUAAAUAAUAAUCGUAUUCCGUUCAGAAUGACCAGUGGUGUAAAGUACUUAAGUAAAAAUAAUUUAAAGUACUACUUAAGUAGUUUUUUGGGGUACUUUUACUUCACUACAUUCCUAAAGAAAAUAAUGUAGUUUUUACUACAUACAUUUUCUCUGACACCCAAAAGUACUUGUUGCAUGUUGAGUGCUUAGCAGGACAGGAAAAUGGUCCAAUUCACGCACUUAUCAAGAGAACAUCCCUGGUCAUCCCUACUGCCUCAGAUCUGGCUGACUCACUAAACACAUAUGCAUCGUUUGUAAAUGAUGUCUGAGUGUUAAUGUGUACCCCUGGCUAUCCGUACAUUUUAAAAACAAGAAAAUAGUGCCGUCUGUUCUUGAUUUAUAUAAGGAAUUUGAAAUGAUUCAUACUUUUACUUUUGAUACUUAAGUAUAUUUUAGCAAUUACAUUUACUUUAAGACUACUUAAGUGUAUUUAGAACCAAAUACUUUAAGACUUUUACUCAAGUAGUAUUUUACUGGGUGACUUUCACUUUUACUUGAGUAACUUUCUAUUAAGGUAUCUAUACUUUUACUCAGGUAUGAUAAUUGGGUACUUUUUCCAUCUCUCUCUCUGUCUCUCUCUCUCUCUCUCUCUCACAGCCUUUUCACACUAUCGUGCCAAUCUGAACCAUACUGCGUUAGUUCAUCAAAUGUUUCCAGCAUAAUUCCAGUAGGCCAGCGCAGUAGAGCUCACCUCAGUUUGGCUGGGUUCAGUAGAGUAGAGGAUAUAAGACAAAGCUGUACUGACUAACACAUUCAAUAGAGGGCAUAGUUACAGUACAUUCACACACAAUAAACUGCAACAUUUUCGGGACAAAGGCAAAAGCAGGAGAAAGGGCUGAUCCAUGCCAUUGCAUGUCUAUCCUACUACACUAGACAUGUAACCAUAGAGCUGAGGCUGACCUGUGAGUGGAGAGAGGCUGCGUCUUUAUUGGCACCCUUUUCCCUAUAUAGUGCACUACAUAUGACCGGGGUUCUGGUCAAAAGUAGUGCACUAAAUAUGGAAUAGGGUGCCAUUUGGGAUGCAGACCGAGUCUUUGGCACUGAAAGGCUAUGUAUCUGUUUUCUCUUUAUGCAUAGACACAUUUAACACCUUGCUAGACGCCAUUGGUGUUCUAUAGGACUGGGUCAAUACUUGGCUAAUCAAUGACACUUUUGUCAAGGGGAGAGCCCGUUUAAAACAGGCACCGCUCCAGACUGAAGGCCAGACUCCCUUCUCUACCUCUGUUGACGUGUAUGUGCAUUCUAAUCUACACCCAUUUAACUCUCUCUACGCAUCCAGAGAUACACUGUAGUAGUCAAGACCACCGUCAAUAUGUUAGUUCUAUCGUCAAGACAACCAUCAAUGUUAGUUCUAUCAUCAAGACAAUCAUCAAUGUUAGUUCUAUCGUCAAGACAAUCAUCAAUAUGUUAGUUCUAUCAUCAAGACAAUUAUCAAUGUUAGUUCUAUCAUCAAGACAAUCAUCAAUAUGUUAGUUCUAUCAUCAAGACAAUCAUCAAUAUGUUAGUUCUAUCAUCAAGACAAUCAUCAAUAUGUUAGUUCUAUCAUCAAGACACACUCAAUAUGUUAGUUCUAUCAUCAAGACAAUCAUCAAUAUGUUAGUUCUAUCAUCAAGACAAUCAUCAAUAUGUUAGUUCUAUCAUCAAGACAAUCAUCAAUGUUAGUUCUAUCAUCAGGACAAUCAGCCCAAGUGGUUACCUCAGUAACACUGUGUAGCCUAGCCUACUCAUUCUCAGAACAUCUAUUGAGAGAAGCUAGAUGAGUCCACUGCCUCUAUUCCCUAAUGACACAAACCUGUACAGAUCCUUUUAAAACACUGAUUCAUCAGUACAAAAUGAGGAUGGUCCAAUCAAAUGAAUGCCAUUAAUAAAUCCUCACCACCGCAAGAGAGGGGUUUCCCAGAUCCCUGAGCAGUUUCCUAAUUUUUCAGGAACAUUGAGGAAAGAGAGGAAAGGAUGGAAAACCGGUCUUUGAGUGUGUUUGCGUGUGUCUGUGUUUGCGUGUGUGUGUGUUUGCGUGUUUGUCGUGCUGCAGUAGUCCCAGUCUCCUCCAGUGGUCAGUCACAACAGGCUAUUCCACGAGAGAUGAGAAAAAUGGUGAGGGGGGAGUGGGAAAUGUUUUAAUGGUAAUAGUAAUGUGAGGGAGGGAGGGUUGUCUCCCCCUGAGAUAGCUGUCUGUCUGUCAGGGUCGAGGGAGGAGAGGGAGAGGAGGAGAGAGAGGGAGGAGAGAGAGAGAGAGGAGGAGAGGGAGUGGAGGAGAGAGAGGGAGGAGAGAGAGGGAGGAGAGGGAGUGGAGGAGAGAGAGGGAGGAGAGGGAGUGGAGGAGAGAGAGGGAGGAGAUGGAGAGGAGGAGAGGGAGAGGAGGAGAGAGAGGGAGAAGAGGGAGAGGAGAUGAGAGAGGGAGGAGAGAGAGAGAGAGGAGAGGGAGAGGAGGAAAGAGAGGAAGGAGAGGGAGAGGAGGAGAAAGAGGAGGAGAGAGAGGGAGAAGAGGGAGAGAAGAGAGAGGGAGGAGAGAGAGGAGAGGGAGAGGAGGAAAGAGAGGAAGGAGAGGGAGAGGAGGAGAAAGGGGAGGAGAGGGAGAGGAGGAGAGGGAGAGGAGGAGAGAGAGGGAGGAGAGGGAGAGAAGGAGAGGGAGAGGAGGAGAGAGAGGGAGAAGAGGGAGAGGAGAUGAGAGAGGGAGGAGAGAGAGAGAGAGGAGAGGGAGAGGAGGAAAGAGAGGAAGGAGAGGGAGAGGAGGAGAAAGAGGAGGAGAGAGAGGGAGAAGAGGGAGAGGAGAAGAGAGGGAGGAGAGAGAGGAGAGGGAGAGGAGGAAAGAGAGGAAGGAGAGGGAGAGGAGGAGAAAGAGGAGGAGAGAGAGAGGAGGAGAGAGAGGGAGGAGAGAGAGGGAGGAGAGGGAGAGGAGGAGAGAGAGGGAGAAGAGGGAGAGGAGAAGAGAGAGGGAGGAGAGAGAGAGGAGAGGGAGAGGAGGAAAGAGAGGAAGGAGAGGGAGAGGAGGAGAGAGAGGGAGAAGAGGGAGAGGAGAAGAGAGAGGGAGAGAGAGGAGAGGGAGAGGAGGAAAGAGAGGAGGGAGAGGGAGAGGAGGAGAAAGAGGAGGAGAGAGAGGGAGGAGAGAGAGGGGGAAAUUCUCCAAAGAGCAGAAAAGCAGAUGGAAACGGGUAACACACAAGUCAGAGCCUUUUUCCAUGAUCCAGCUCUCCAGUUCUCUGCUCCACUCGCUCAAGGCACUGAAAAGGGGACGGGAGGGGUCCCUCAGAGUGGAGUGUCACCAAGUCAAAGUCUCCCUCGGUGGAAUGUCCCCUCAGCAGUAAUGUCCUUCAUUUAUCCCGUCCUGUCCCCUGCUCGCUCUCUCUUGCUCUCUCUCUGUGAGAGAGGAGCUGAGGUCGUACGACUGCAGAGAAACUGACAGAGGUCAAUGCUCAUAGUCACACUACAGCGUAUCAGGUGUGCAGUGCAGUCCCUCACUCAGCUCUCUCCACUCCACUCUCCACUCCACUCCACUCUCCACUCCCAGAAUGGCUGCAUGGAGAAAACAGGGGGGAAAAUGCCUUCACGUCCCUUUUCCACUGACAGGAUUAACACCGGUGCUGGACCUAAAAACUCUGAAUUCUGUGUUACCAAUAGCUGAGGCAGAGAGACAUUGUUUCCUUUGGGCCUUUAUAGCCUUUAUGACAUGUGGAAUAUUCUCCUCCUUGGUCUGUAUUCCACAGUCUAGAAUAGUAGUCUUUUCUGUGCCUCAGAAAGGCACAAAGGCACAGACUGACCUACUACUGUAAUACUGAAGGGACUGGUCACUCUGGUCUAGUGUAAUAGUGUAGAUGUGUGAUUUCUUUGUUCCAUACAUUAGUUCUUGUGUUCUUACACUGGAAAAAGUCCACAGGUUCUGUACAUACUCUUUCGGUCCAGCAGAAUGUCUUUCUUGCACACACACACAUACAUAUACACACACAUAUACACACACACAUACACAAAUACACUCACACAUAUAAACACACAAUUUUCCUGCCCUCUCCUGCUCCUCUCCUCGUCCCUCUACCACCAGCUGCCAGUAAGAUCCUGGUGGACUCAGGUUCCACUCUCCCGUUGCGUAACAAAAGCCCCAACACAUUGCUGCAGUGUCACAGGACGAGUGAAUGACGCGGGGCACCGACGCGGGUGCACUCCUCUUUCGGCCCGGUGUCGAGUUGCCGUCGCUGGCCCACUUUUCACCAGUCGGACGGCCUGUCACCUGUCCUGGCUGGGAGGAAUGCUGCGACUGACGCGGCCGGUGACGGCAGCACUGACUCCGGCAGCAGCUCGGCAUAGCGGAUGAAGUGUCUGUGUGAGGCUCCCGCUGUGUGUGUCAAUGUGUGUGAGGGGGUCUCAGGGAGCCUGUGUGUCUCCUGAGAGGUUGUUUUGACACUGGACACCUGCUGUCCGACGGUAGAAGCGCGUGUGUGGAGGAGGUGGUGAACCCGCAUGCCAGAACCAUCCGUUUCUCUCUCCCUGUGUCUCUCUCUCUCUGUGUCUCUCUCCCUCUGUCUCUCUCUCUCUCUCUCUCUGUCUCUCUCCCUCUGUCUCUCUCUCUCUCUGUCUCUCUCUCUCUCUGUCUCUCUAUCUCUGUCUCUCUCCCUCUGUCUCUCUCCCUCUGUCUCUCUCCCUCUGUCUCUCUCCCUGUGCCUCUCUCCCUCUGUUUCUCUGUCUCAGAGCACAGAGAAGAAAGGGAGGAAUAGCUAGAGUGGGAAGUAUUGUGAGGUUUUGGUCAUAAAGCGCAGAAAUCCUACUCACACUCUCCCUGUCUCUUCCUCCCUCUCUCUCUGUCUCUCUGCUGCGUGUGCCCUGCUUGCUGCUGAUUCCCUGCCAGCAC
RNAcentral lists this long non-coding RNA (7169 nucleotides) under Salmo salar (Atlantic salmon). RNAcentral describes it as "lncRNA (ENSSSAG00000114604.1)". The record is from RNAcentral. Lineage: Eukaryota; Metazoa; Chordata; Actinopteri; Salmoniformes; Salmonidae.